GAUGAACGCUGGCGGCGUGCCUAAUACAUGCAAGUCGAGCGGACGGACGAGAAUCUUGCUUCUUUGAUGUUAGCGGCGGACGGGUGAGUAACACGUGUAUAACCUCCCUAUAAUACUGGGAUAACUUCGGGACACCGGAGCUAAUACCGGAUAAUAUUUUGAACCGCAUGGUUCAAUAGUGAAAGACGGUCUUGCUGUCACUUCUAGAUGGUUCCGCGCUGCAUUAGCUAGUUGGUAAGGUCACGGCCUACCAAGGCAACGAUGCAUAGCCGACCUGACAGGGUGAUCGGCGACACGGGAACGGAGACAGGGUCCAGACUCCUACGGGAGGCAGCAGUAGGGAAUCUUACGCAAUGGGCGGAAGCCUGACGGAGCAGGGCCGCGUGAGUGAUGAAGGUCUUCGGAUCGUGAAAAUCUGUUAUUAGGGAAGAACAUAUGUGUAAGUAACUGUGGACAGCUUGACGGUAACUAAUCAGAAAGCCACGGCUAACUACGUG
RNAcentral lists this ribosomal RNA (497 nucleotides) under uncultured bacterium. Its description in RNAcentral is "partial 16S ribosomal RNA". It matches the Rfam family "Bacterial small subunit ribosomal RNA", at positions 28 to 507 of the family's 1533-position model. The record is from RNAcentral.